RNAcentral lists this ribosomal RNA (1413 nucleotides) under uncultured bacterium. Its description in RNAcentral is "partial 16S ribosomal RNA". It matches the Rfam family "Bacterial small subunit ribosomal RNA". The record is from RNAcentral.
GAGUUUGAUCCUGGCUCAGAAUCAACGCUGGCGGCGUGCCUAACACAUGCAAGUCGAACGCGAAAGUCCCGCAAGGGAUUAGUAGAGUGGCAAACGGGUGAGUAACGCGUGGGUGACCUGCCUUCGAGCGGGGGAUAACGUCCCGAAAGGGGCGCUAAUACCGCAUAACAUCCUGCCUUUGAACAGGUGGAGAUCAAAGCUGCGGAUCGCAAGACGUAGCACUCGAAGAGGGGCCCGCGUCCGAUUAGCUAGUUGGUGAGGUAACGGCUCACCAAGGCGACGAUCGGUAUCCGGCCUGAGAGGGCGGACGGACACACUGGGACUGAGACACGGCCCAGACUCCUACGGGAGGCAGCAGUGGGGAAUUGUUCACAAUGGGCGCAAGCCUGAUGGCGCAAUGCCGCGUGGAGGAUGAAGGUCUUCGGAUUGUAAACUCCUGUUGCCAGGGACGAAUGGCUCCGACCUAACACGUCGGAGAAUGACGGUACCUGGUGAGGAAGCCCCGGCUAACUCUGUGCCAGCAGCCGCGGUAAUACAGAGGGGGCGAGCGUUGUUCGGAAUUACUGGGCGUAAAGGGCGCGUAGGCGGCCUUCUAAGUCGAACGUGAAAUCCCCGGGCUCAACCCGGGAACUGCGUCCGAUACUGGGAGGCUUGAAUCCGGGAGAGGGAUGUGGAAUUCCAGGUGUAGCGGUGAAAUGCGUAGAUAUCUGGAGGAACACCGGUGGCGAAGGCGGCAUCCUGGACCGGUAUUGACGCUGAGGCGCGAAAGCCAGGGGAGCAAACGGGAUUAGAUACCCCGGUAGUCUACGCCGUAAACGAUGCGCACUAGGUUCGAAGGUCUCUGACGAUCCUCGGACCGAAACAAAAGCGUUAAGUGCGCCGCCUGGGGAGUACGGCCGCAAGGCUAAAACUCAAAGGAAUUGACGGGGGCUCACACAAGCGGUGGAGCAUGUGGAUCAAUUCGAAGCAACGCGAAGAACCUUACCUGGGUUUGACAUGCAUGGAUGCCCUCGACGAAAGUUGAGUAAGCUGCCUUUGGUGAAACAUGCACAGGUGCUGCAUGGCUGUCGUCAGCUCGUGCUGUGAAGUGUCGGGUUAAGUCCCUUAACGAGCGAAACCCUUAUCGCUAGUUGCCGGCGGGUCAUGCCGGGAACUCUAGUGAGACUGCCGGCGUCAAGCCGGAGGAAGGCGGGGACGACGUCAAGUCAUCAUGGCCUUUAUGCCCAGGGCGUCACACGUGCUACAAUGGGGUGGAACAGAGCGAUGCGAGACCGCAAGGUGGAGCAAAUCGCAGAAAACACCCCUCAGUUCGGAUUGAGGUCUGCAACCCGACCUCAUGAAGCUGGAAUUCAGCUAGUAAUUCGCGUAUCAGCCUAUGACGCGGGUGAAUAUGUUCCUGAGCAUUGUACACAC